Molecule: non-coding RNA, 2899 nt
Organism: Schizosaccharomyces pombe (fission yeast)
Lineage: Eukaryota; Fungi; Ascomycota; Schizosaccharomycetes; Schizosaccharomycetales; Schizosaccharomycetaceae
Source: the annotation of a GenBank genome assembly
AGCAAAUACUGAACGUCCGUACUGUAGUUAUUUCAUUUAAUGUGAUUUGUAUCUAGCUUCACUUCCAUUUGCCGCAUAAACUACUGGACGAUUUUUCAUUGUCGAGAUUUACAAGCGUAACGAAUUUUGUGCAAUUAAUAUAUAUUCUCUCUCUUUUAAUAUUUGCUCCUUUCAAACUUAAGUUUGCUAUUGGGGUUUUAGAUUUUACAGUUUCUUCUCAGUUGAUAUUGCUUAAAGGAACAAUUUCCGCAGCCCUUUCUUUAAAUGCCAAACUAAUUACGGAACUGAAUAUUAUUAAUUUGCUAAUCUUAUAUGCCAGCGAAGAAAAAAAAGAAUAGAGUACCGAUGUAUUUAAAGAUAUGAUUGAAAAUUGCGUCUUGAGAGUACGCAUGAAUAAAUUAAUAAAACGAACAAGAGAUACUUCACGUUUACGAUCAAGGUUCAACUUUUCCAAGCUGCCAUCUCAUUAACUUGUAAAAGUUGGUACCAGGACGAGACAAUCGUUCAAAAGACCCUUGCUCCAAAACUUUCCCGUCUCCAACAACAAUUAUUUGAUCAGCUCGGCGAAUAGUAGCCAAUUUGUGAGCAAUCGUAAUGGUAGUCAUACUACGAUUAUGCAUCAAAGAUUGAAUCGUUUUAUCCACCAUUACUUCUGCUUCACCGUCUAAUGCUGAAGUAGCUUCAUCCAAAAUUAAAAAUGCUGGAUUUCGAAGAAGUGCCCUAGCAAUUGCAAUGCGUUGUUUUUGUCCCCCGCUUAGUUGUAAACCACGAGUCCCGACUUGCGUAGACCAUUUCUCCGGGAAAGAAAGCACAAAACUACAAUUCGCUCGUUUGGCAGCAUCUUCGAUUUCCUCUUGAGAUGCGUUAGAUUUACCGUAAGCAAUAUUUUCGCCAAUUGUACCAGAAAAUAAAACCGGUUCUUGUCCAACUAAACCAAAAUGACUGCGCCAUUGAUGAACAUUAUAUGUAGAGAUGUCAACUCCGUCAGCUAAUAUUUUCCCACUACUAGGUGCGUAAAAGCGCAAAAGGAGCUGUGAGAUGGUGGAUUUUCCACCGCCACUAGGUGCGACUAUAGCAACAUUGGUGCCUGGAUGAAUGUCGAAAGAUAAGUUAUCAAAUAUUGAAGCUGAAGGACGAGUUGGGUAUGCAAACCCAACAUUUCUGAACGAAAGUAUUGCCUUUCCGACUGUGACUGGAACGGGAAUCCCAACGGUUGGAGCUAUCUUCGGUUUAGCAUCUAAAAGUUCAAAUAACCGACUAGCAGCUCCCAGACCUUUCAUAAUAUCAGUAAAACAUCCUGAUAAGCCAACAAUGCUUCCACCGGCAUAAACGGUAUACAGCAAAAAUGAACUUAGCUGUCCUACAGUUAUAUCACCUGCAGCAACCAUUCUUCCGCCUAACGCAAGAAUAGCGAUUACAGUUGCGUUCCCAAGGAACCCUGUUGACCCGAAGAAAAUACCGCUAGCAAAAGCCUCUCGCUUUGCCAGGACAAAGAGAUUUCGAAUGUAAUCGUUGUAACGAUUUACUUCUUGUCUUUCUCCUAGAAAAGCCUGUGUAGUCCGAACAUUUGCGAGUUUCUCUUCUGAAACCCUUGUUAAAUCACCGAGAGCAUCUUGUGUAGUCCUGGAAAGUUUCCGAACAUACUCUCCAUAAAAGAAAGCUCCCAAUGCAAUUGGGGGUACAAUUAGGGACAUAUAUCCAGUGAGUCUCAUGGAUACGUAGAGCAUCAUCCCUAUUCCAGCAAUUGCACUAACUGAGCUACGAAGACCAUCACUUAAGUACAUUGAUAAAGACUUACCGACAAUACUCGAAUCCGUCGUAAGACGGGAUAUGAGAUCCCCAUGUUUAUGAAAGUCAAAAAAUGCUCCAUCUAAUGACAUGCAUUUAGCAAACAAGCGUGCUCGAAGACGACUGACAAUUCUUUCACUCAGUAGACGCAAGGUGAUGAUUCUACCAAAGUUACAAGCUGAACCAAGGAAAAAUAAACCCAACAAACCAAUAUAAAACGUACCAGAAGGAAUUCCCAUGAUAUGCGUGACAGAAGAAUCGCCUGACGAGCCAGCGUCUAAGAUUUUGCCAACAAUGUAGGGAAUGGACAUUGUAACGCCGGAGGAAACUAAGAGAAGAGAUCCAGCAAUAAAAAAAUUCCAUCCCUGACCCCUUGCUAGUGUGAAGAGACGAAAAACAUUGACUUUCUUGUUUGGUGUUUGUAAUGUACCAUUUGUAUUUAUUUUUGAGAUAUCCUGUGCUUGCUCAUCUUUUGAUGGAACUGUAGAAUUAUGUCGCACACACAACUUUAAAAAAGCAAGUGAUCGUAUAGGAAGAAUAGAUCUAGAAAAAGGUAACGGAAAACUAUUUUUAAAAGGAUAUAUCUUAGAACCACUUGAGGCCUUUUGAGAUAACGAGUUUAGGCUCACAUUAACCUGUGAAGAUAACUUACUGGUACUAUAAUAUUCUGCAUUUGGCGUGGGAAGUAAUAGAGUAUUCGUACUUUUGUAAGCCACGUUGUUUUUCAACCAAGUCAACGGUACUAAAUAGUUUGCUCGAAAUAUUACGCGUUUAUUGUAGCAGUGAGCGAAUGGUACUCUCGAAAGUCCAAAACGUAUUGGAUCCAUCCAUGAAUGUGCCUUUCAAAGGAAAUGAACGGAAUCUUUUCGAAACGGGGUUUACACAGGCUUUUGGCAACAAAAGGUGCGCAAAGUAUGUACAAAUAAAUUAUUUAAUAUAUACUUUUUAUUAGUAUUCGUUCUAUCAAAUUUUCUCUUCUCUACGGUAUUAGUAGUUUCGAUAGAAUUUCCACGAAGUACUCUACAUUCGCAUAAGGUAGGUGCUUUGGUACAUACUAAGAUUUCAUUUACCUUAACACAACCACUUCUCUACAACAAGUCAAAUCGACGAG